AGUGGCGGACGGGUGAGUAACACGUAGGUAACCUGCCCCGGAGCGGGGGAUAACAUUUGGAAACAGAUGCUAAUACCGCAUAACAACAAAAGCCACAUGGCUUUUGUUUGAAAGAUGGCUUUGGCUAUCACUCUGGGAUGGACCUGCGGUGCAUUAGCUAGUUGGUAAGGUAACGGCUUACCAAGGCGAUGAUGCAUAGCCGAGUUGAGAGACUGAUCGGCCACAAUGGAACUGAGACACGGUCCAUACUCCUACGGGAGGCAGCAGUAGGGAAUCUUCCACAAUGGGCGCAAGCCUGAUGGAGCAACACCGCGUGAGUGAAGAAGGGUUUCGACUCGUAAAGCUCUGUUGUUGGAGAAGAACGUGCGUGAGAGUAACUGUUCACGCAGUGACGGUAUCCAACCAGAAAGUCACGGCUAACUACGUGCCAGCAGCCGCGGUAAUACGUAGGUGGCAAGCGUUAUCCGGAUUUAUUGGGCGUGAAGCGAGCGCAGGCGGUUGCUUAGGUCUGAUGUGAAAGCCUUCGGCUUAACCGAAGAAGUGCAUCGGAAACCGGGCGGCUUGAGUGCAGAAGAGGACAGUGGAACUCCAUGUGUAGCGGUGGAAUGCGUAGAUAUAUGGAAGAACACCAGUGGCGAAGGCGGCUGUCUGGUCUGCAACUGACGCUGAGGCUCGAAAGCAUGGGUAGCGAACAGGAUUAGAUACCCUGGUAGUCCAUGCCGUAAACGAUGAGUGCUAGGUGU
This 743-nucleotide ribosomal RNA is filed under the name uncultured bacterium. RNAcentral's name for it is "bacterial SSU rRNA". It matches the Rfam family "Bacterial small subunit ribosomal RNA", at positions 94 to 823 of the family's 1533-position model. The record is from RNAcentral.